CCGGUUGCAGUUCCAGGCUCAGCUGCCGGCCGAAGGCGUCCAGGCGGAGAGAGAGGAAGGGAGAGGGAAAGAUAGAAACAUCAAUGAUGAGAGAGAAUCAUCGAUUGUCUGCCUCCUGCGUGUCCUCUGCUGGAGAUGGAGCCCAGCAAGAACCAAACCCUGACCUCCUGGUUCAUGGGUGAACACUCAACCGUUGAACCAUAGCAGCCAGGUGGCUGAGUAUUAGAUUGAAGGGGCUGUUCUGGACACAUAGGCACCGACUUCUGAAUGGGAAAGGCAUGAAGACUUGGAAAACAAAACAACAAGAAAAAUAACAAUGAAAAUAAAUUCAUCUUCCCCACCCGAGGAAGAAGAGUCCCUAGAGUCGAAGCUGGCGCACCAUGUGUAUUAGGACUGUAUGACUUAUUGUCUGUGGCUUGUUUUGUACUCAAAUGAAUAUUGAGGGUAAUGAUUUCUACUUGAUUGUUAACUACUAUGCUUUUAUAUUUCUAAACAUUGUUGUUUUUAAAAUGAAUACCUCCAUUGAUUUGAAUGUUGAAAUAUGGUUGCAAAGAAAAAUAAACUUUAAAAUGCUGAUAACCAAA
Long non-coding RNA from Eptesicus fuscus (big brown bat), 584 nucleotides. RefSeq lists it as uncharacterized. The record is from RefSeq and is a predicted model, not a curated record. Lineage: Eukaryota; Metazoa; Chordata; Mammalia; Chiroptera; Vespertilionidae. The transcript has 4 exons.